ACGUAGGUGGCAAGCGUUGUCCGGAUUUAUUGGGCGUAAAGCGAGCGCAGGCGGUCAAUUAAGUCUGAUGUGAAAGCCCCCGGCUCAACCGGGGAGGGUCAUUGGAAACUGGUUGACUUGAGUGCAGAAGAGGAGAGUGGAAUUCCAUGUGUAGCGGUGAAAUGCGUAGAUAUAUGGAGGAACACCAGUGGCGAAGGCGACUCUCUGGUCUGUAACUGACGCUGAGGCUCGAAAGCGUGGGUAGCAAACAG
RNAcentral lists this ribosomal RNA (251 nucleotides) under uncultured bacterium. RNAcentral describes it as "partial 16S ribosomal RNA". It matches the Rfam family "Bacterial small subunit ribosomal RNA", at positions 525 to 775 of the family's 1533-position model. The record is from RNAcentral.